This is a long non-coding RNA of Mus pahari (shrew mouse), 574 nucleotides long. RefSeq lists it as uncharacterized. The record is from RefSeq and is a predicted model, not a curated record. NCBI's taxonomy places the organism in Eukaryota, Metazoa, Chordata, Mammalia, Rodentia, Muridae. The transcript is spliced from 3 exons.
AUCACGCUUUUUACUCGUCUACAGGGAAAUCUCCUCCCCCUCGUGCGAUCGGGAAAAUUAACCCUUUGCGCGAGAGGGCGCAGAAGAGCAAGACCUCCCCUCGCCCUGGGGGACAGUUUUGUUUACAAGAAAUCAACUAAAAUGAGGCGAGGGCACGUCAUUCAGUUAGAUAAUCCCAGCAAGACAUUGGAGGCUGAGGCAAGAAGAUUGAUGCUAGUAAAGUUGCCAGAAAUUCAAGGACAAGGUUUCUAGGUUCAGCAGUCCUGACUGUCCUGGAACUCACUUUGUAGACCAAGCUGGUCUUGAACUCAAAAAGAUGUACCUGCCUCUGCUUCCCAAGUGCCCGAAUUAAAGAAGUGCUCCACCACCGUCCAGCUUAGAAUGAUUAUUUUCUUUCUGGACUUUUGUAAGGAUAGGAAAGAUGGCAGAGGAUAUUGGGAGAAAGCCCAGCAUUGCAAGUAAGAAUCAUUAUGAAAAGCUUUCUCGUGUGCUCGUUCCUAAGACAUAACCGGAUAUCUAGUUAAUAUUGAAUGUGUAACAUAACUGGCAAUUUAUUGUUGGCAAUAAAGUGCUU